This 332-nucleotide long non-coding RNA is filed under the name Rattus norvegicus (Norway rat). Its description in RNAcentral is "long non-coding RNA NONRATT028734". The record is from RNAcentral. Lineage: Eukaryota; Metazoa; Chordata; Mammalia; Rodentia; Muridae.
GCUUAACCCCUCGCUGCCCGGCGCGCUCCCGCCUCCCGCGCCGAGGAAGUGGGACCGCGGAGGGGGCGGGGAGGCACGGGGCGGGGCGGAGCGGCGGACGGACAAAGCCCACGGCCGGCAGCGGGCGUCUCCUCACGCUCGCUGCGCCCUGAAGUGCUGUGCUGGGGACGCAGCUGGGCAGCAUCUGGAUUCGCCACCCGCAGCCAUUCCGGAGCUCAGCCACGCUGGACGCGGGAGGCGAGGCCGGCUGUGGAGCCGCAGCUGUGGUGGGCGGACUCUGUGGGAAAAGCGCGAAGCCCCUCACACCGCGCUAAUCAGCUCGCUCACCUGAG